GAUGAACGCUGGCGGCGUGCCUAAUACAUGCAAGUCGUGCGGUAAGGCCCUUCGGGGUACACGAGCGGCGGACGGCUGAGUAACACGUAGGAAUCUACCCCAAACUGAGGGAUAAGCACCAGAAAUGGUGUCUAAUACCGCAUGUGCUCUAAGGAGUAAAGCUUCGGCGGUUUGGGAAGAGCCUGCGUAAGAUUAGCUUGUUGGUGAGGUAAUGGCUCACCAAGGCGACGAUCUUUAGCUGGUCUGAGAGGAUGAUCAGCCAGACUGGGACUGAGACACGGCCCAGACUCCUACGGGAGGCAGCAGUAGGGAAUUUUCCACAAUGGGCGAAAGCCUGAUGGAGCAACGCCGCGUGCAGGAUGAAGGCCUUAGGGUUGUAAACUGCUUUUAUAUGUGACGAAUAUGACGGUAGCAUAUGAAUAAGGAUCGGCUAACUCCGUGCCAGCAGCCGC
Molecule: ribosomal RNA, 452 nt
Filed under: uncultured bacterium
Lineage: Bacteria
Description: bacterial SSU rRNA
Rfam family: Bacterial small subunit ribosomal RNA
Source: RNAcentral